This 443-nucleotide ribosomal RNA is filed under the name uncultured bacterium. RNAcentral's name for it is "partial 16S ribosomal RNA". It matches the Rfam family "Bacterial small subunit ribosomal RNA", at positions 338 to 795 of the family's 1533-position model. The record is from RNAcentral.
CCUACGGGAGGCAGCAGUGGGGAAUAUUGGGCAAUGGGCGCAAGCCUGACCCAGCAACGCCGCGUGAAGGAAGAAGGCUUUCGGGUUGUAAACUUCUUUUCUCAGGGACGAAGCAAGCGACGGUUCCCGAGGAAUAAGCCACGGCUAACUACGUGCCAGCAGCCGCGGUAAUACGUAGGUGGCAAGCGUUAUCCGGAUUUACUGGGUGUAAAGGGAGUGUAGGCGGGAAAGCAAGUCAGAUGUGAAAACCAUGGGCUCAACCUGUGGCCUGCAUUUGAAACUGUUGUUCUGGAGUACUGGAGAGGCAGACGGAAUUCCUAGUGUAGCGGUGAAAUGCGUAGAUAUUAGGAGGAACACCAGUGGCGAAGGCGGUCUGCUGGACAGCAACUGACGCUGAGGCGCGAAAGCGUGGGGAGCAAACAGGAUUAGAUACCCUUGUAGUC